UUUCAGGCUGCCGUCACCUCCCAUGAUGCACCGGGGUACGGCAAGCUGGUGGGAGCUUUCCACAGCGAGUUCGGCCUGUUAAACAGAGUUCAUGCCCUCUGGUGGUUUGAGAGUGCUGAUCAGAGAGCUGAAGUUCGACACAAAGCUCAUCAUGACGCCAGAGUGGUCGCUGCAGUGAGAAACAGCGUGAUGCAUCUGGAGUCUCAGGAGAAUAAACUCAUGUUUCCGUGUGCUUUCUCUCCGCUGAAGUAACUUCCUGUUGUCACACCUGGGUCUCCACGGCAA
Long non-coding RNA from Perca flavescens (yellow perch), 285 nucleotides. RefSeq lists it as uncharacterized. NCBI's taxonomy places the organism in Eukaryota, Metazoa, Chordata, Actinopteri, Perciformes, Percidae. The record is from RefSeq and is a predicted model, not a curated record. The transcript is spliced from 3 exons.